GGGUGUCAGGGUUCUGAGGCUCCGGCCUGACCUCUCCACGGGGUCGACGGGAACGUCUCCAGAUGCCAGGAGUCGCAAAGCGCCAAACAGGAUGAGGAAACCCCAGGCGGAGUCCGGGAAAAGCAGCACAGCAUCCCAGCCUCAGGCCUGCCCGGACCGUGUUGGUUGGGUUGACUCUCCCCAAAAGUCGUGCCGCCAUCCGUGAUCUCUAAGACAGGUCGGCCUGCGUGCCCCUGGGCUGCUCUCUCAUCCGAGGGUCGUUCUCGUCGAGAGUAGAAUCCCGCAGUCUCAGGGGUUACCUGGGGGAUCAAGAUGAACCCACUGCAGACGAGGACAAGAGCCCCAACAGGAGCUCUUUGUCCCACAGGAGAGCAGCGGACCCACGUCAGAGAAGAUGCUUGUGUCUUUUCAUGGCUCUUCUCUGAGAAAUGAAGCCACACCACGAUACAGUCAGCAAGAGGAAGCCAGGAAUGAGAGAUGGCAACAAUCCCUGUCCCUGGAACGCUGGCCUCCCUGCACAAGCCACCCUUUAGGAACCCCACCCCUUAUGCCUGUGACGGUGGCAAGGUGCUGUAUCCUGCCUGGGCUCCGGCCUCUGCUCUGUCCUCCCUCUUGCUCUGCCUCCCCUGUUUCUCAGGGGCCUGGAUGCCUCUCGCUCUGGCCAAAUGCCUUCAACAAAGAUGACUUCCCACUCCGUCAGGGAGACA
This is a long non-coding RNA of Homo sapiens (human), 707 nucleotides long. The record is from Ensembl. NCBI's taxonomy places the organism in Eukaryota, Metazoa, Chordata, Mammalia, Primates, Hominidae.